This is a long non-coding RNA of Anolis carolinensis (green anole), 2522 nucleotides long. RefSeq lists it as uncharacterized. The transcript is spliced from 2 exons. NCBI's taxonomy places the organism in Eukaryota, Metazoa, Chordata, Lepidosauria, Squamata, Anolidae. The record is from RefSeq and is a predicted model, not a curated record.
GCCUCAUGGCUCUACUACUGGGAGACGUGGGCGUAAGACUCCUCGAGAGUCAGAUACUCUCGAGGAGCAAGAAAAGAAGCGGCUGCGAGAUAUCUUUGCAGAACCAUCUGACGAGGAUUCUUUUGAGGGGUUUACUGAGAGAAUGGAGGAAGAGAUGGUUAGCUCGGAAGAGGAUGACAUGGAAUGGACUCGUGUAAGGGAGGAUUUGGGUGCCACUGGCAAUGAUAGUAUGGAAGGCGAUUGGGGACCUUCAGGAUUAGACCCGUGGACAAGCUGGAGGGAUGGGACGGGAUCCACAGCUGGGGAUGCUGUGGGGCGUAGUCAAAGGUGUUCCAGUUCUGAUGAGGAAAGUGAUGAGGAAACGCCCGGGCUAAGGAGAACAGCUGAUAGCGAUGAGGACUUGUAACUGGCAUAAAAUGGGGUUUGGGAGCAAUAGCAAAUUGCGUUGGGCAAGGUAAUCUGGACGAACGCUUGGGAUCUGUGUGGGAAGUUUUCCUGAAGACGGGUGUGAUUCGUUUGCUGACUACCUUUGACCUUCCGUCGUCUUCUUGACGGACGCCAUCUGCUUACUCUGGACUUACGGACUGACUGACUACGGCCUCGGAUUCUCCUACCUGUGUCUAUUGUUGGAACUGGUGAACUACAAACGUCUGCAUCUGCCUUACGACCUUCGGAACGGAUUGGGACUUCGCUGACUGCUUCUGCCCUCGUCUGCUGUGUUUGUAUCGGGAAAUUGCCUGCUGUGUGGAGGAGUAACCUCUAAGUUACUCAAACAUAGCUCUUGGCAGCAGAGAAGCAUCUGCUGCCAAUUAGUUGCAUUCCUUUGAACUUUUUGUUCACCAGCUUCUGUUUGUUUAUUCCCAGGCUGAAGCAAGCUGUUUUGAUUUAACCCGGAUUAAACUCCGGUUUAAUCCGGUUUAUCUUUUGAACGUUUUUCUUGUCUCUUUUUACUUUUAAGGCCAGUGUUUGCCUAGCCCUUGUCUUUUACGGGCAUUUUUGGUUCUGUAACUUCAAUAAACUUUGUUAUCUUUUAUCUUGUGGCGUUCUGUCUUUGACAGAUUGCCCAACGCCCAUAAAAAAGUUUUUCUGUAGUAGUUAAUUACGUCAAGAAGACGAUGGAGGAGUUAAAGGCUCGUUUUGAUCAAUUACAGGCUGCUUUUUACGCUGCGCAAGCAGCACAGCCAGCUAAAGGACAUGUUAUGACUCCCGAACGCUUUGAUGGGUCUAGGAGCAAACUGCCAACUUUUUUGGCACAAAUUGAACUUUAUUUUUCCCAGCUUAGUGCACAAGCUUUUCCUACGGACACUAGCAAGGUGGCAUUUAUUUUGAGUUUGUUGACUGGUCCUGCAGGACAAUGGGCCACUAAUUUGAUUUUGAGAAAUGACCCAGUCAAGGACAAUUUGAGUGAUUUCAAAAAACUACUAACUGACACUUUUGGGGAUCCCCUCCGUACGGAGAAUGCUAGUUGGGCUCUGUAUCGGUUGAAACAGGGAAAGGGGACUGUUUUGGAUUAUUUAAAUAAGUUUAAUUCGUACCGUCAUCAGUUAGACUGGGGGAAAAAUGCAUUUAUGCUUUUGUUUACUGCUGGUUUAAAUGAUUACCUCCAGGACGAAUUGGCACGCUUGGAGCCGGCAGAAAAUUGGGAUGCCUUAAUAUCUAAAGUGUUGCGUUUGGAUGCCAGGUUCGAGUCCCGUAAACAAUCUAGAGCAAUGUGUGCGCCACCUAUGUUUGAAUCUAAGGCACCUGUGGUAAAGGGGGACGAGCCUAUGGAACUCGGGGUGUUUAAAUAACUGUCUAUAGCAGAAAAGAACCGUAGGAGACAACUGGGGUUGUGUUUGUAUUGUGGAAAUGCUGGGCAUUUCGCCAGAAAUUGUAAUGUAAAACCUUCCCAGCUUUCGGGAAAAGGCCAGCCCUAGUGCGACGUGAGUCCAACGCAUUAGGGCUUUUAAAGCAGUCAACUGAGGGGAAGAAACAUGUCUUUGUACCCAUUUCGUUAUCUGUUGGGGGAAAAGAACUUGUUUCUACUUUGGCACUGCUGGACUCAGGGGCUACGGUCUCAUAUGUGGAUGCUGAAUUUGCUAGAAAGCAUGGCAUUCCUGUAGUGCGCAAAGCAUGCGACGUAUGGGUGGAAGGAGCGGAUGGGAGACUAUUGGAGACUGGGGUGGUUAACCAUGAGACCUCAGAAAUAAUGUGGGAAGUACAGGGAGUAACGGGAACGUUUGUUUGGGAUAUUACGAGCUUACCCAGAUACGAUGUGAUCCUGGGAAUGGAUUGGCUAGCUUUAGUAAAUCCACAAGUGGACUGGGUGACGCGUAAGAUAACUUUUAGGAGGCAGAAAUGUUUUACUCUAAACCCUACUCAGCCUGAUAUGGAGGGAGUGCCUGCUGAGUAUGGGGAAUUCUCAGACGUAUUCUGUAAGAAGGAAGCGGAUAAGUUACCGCCGCAUAGACCAUACGAUUGCGCCAUUAGACUAGCGGAGGGUGCAAAAUUGCCAGCAGGAAGGUUGUACGCCUUGACAGUAC